This 231-nucleotide non-coding RNA is filed under the name Komagataea norvegica. The record is from RNAcentral. Lineage: Eukaryota; Fungi; Ascomycota; Saccharomycetes; Phaffomycetales; Wickerhamomycetaceae.
UAUAAUAAUUAAUAUAAUUAAAUGGAAAGUUAUUUAAGGAAAUAUAUAUUAAUAUAAUUUAUUGUUAUUAUAACAUAAUAUAUAAAAUAUAACCUUAUUAUUUUUAUUUUAUUAAUAAUUUUAAUUAAAUAUUUUAUAUUAUUUUUUUAUAAAUAAAUAAAUAUUUAUUAAGUUAAAUAAUUAUACUAAAUAUAAGCUUAUUAAUUAUAAAAUAAUUAUUAUAAAAAUAUC